RNAcentral lists this ribosomal RNA (832 nucleotides) under uncultured bacterium. RNAcentral describes it as "bacterial SSU rRNA". It matches the Rfam family "Bacterial small subunit ribosomal RNA", at positions 57 to 889 of the family's 1533-position model. The record is from RNAcentral.
GCAGUCGAACGAACACUUUACUUGAUUUCCUUCGGGGAUGAUUGUUCUGUGACUGAGUGACGGACGGGUGAGUAACGCGUGGAUAACCUGCCUCACACAGGGGGAUAACAGUUGGAAACGACUGCUAAUACCGCAUAAGCGCACAGCACCGCAUGGUGCAGUGUGAAAAACUCCGGUGGUGUGAGAUGGAUCCGCGUCUGAUUAGCUAGUUGGCGGGGUAACGGCCCACCAAGGCGACGAUCAGUAGCCGGCCUGAGAGGGCGACCGGCCACAUUGGGACUGAGACACGGCCCAGACUCCUACGGGAGGCAGCAGUGGGGAAUAUUGCGCAAUGGGGGAAACCCUGAUGCAGCGACGCCGCGUGAGCGAUGAAGUAUUUCGGUAUGUAAGGCUCUAUCAGCAGGGAAGAUAAUGACGGUACCUGACUAAGAAGCUCCGGCUAAAUACGUGCCAGCAGCCGCGGUAAUACGUAUGGAGCAAGCGUUAUCCGGAUUUACUGGGUGUAAAGGGAGCGUAGGCGGUCCUGCAAGUCUGAUGUGAAAGGCCGGGGCUCAACCCCGGGACUGCAUUGGAAACUGUAGGACUAGAGUGUCGGAGGGGUAGGUGGAAUUCCUAGUGUAGCGGUGAAAUGCGUAGAUAUUAGGAGGAACACCAGUGGCGAAGGCGGCUUACUGGACGACUACUGACGCUGAGGCUCGAAAGCGUGGGGAGCAAACAGGAUUAGAUACCCUGGUAGUCCACGCCGUANACGAUGAAUACUNGGUGUUGGCAGGUAAGACCUGUCGGUGCCGCAGCAAACGCAAUAAGUAUUCCACCUGGGGAGUACGUUCGC